CAUAACAUCGCGUGAAAGCUGGGUAUAAUACCCGAUAGGUCUCGAUUGCUGGAAUGCAUCGAGAUUUAAAGCUCCGGCGCCUAAGGAUGGGUCUGCGGCCUAUCAGGUAGUAGUGGGUGUAGCGUACCUACUAGCCUACGACGGGUACGGGUUGUGAGAGCAAGAGCCCGGAGAUGGAUUCUGAGACACGAAUCCAGGCCCUACGGGGUGCAGCAGGCGCGAAAACUUUACAAUGCUGGCAACAGCGAUAAGGGAACCUCGAGUGCCAGGUUACAAAUCUGGCUGUCGAGAUGCCUAAAAAGCAUUUCAUAGCAAGGGCCGGGCAAGACCGGUGCCAGCCGCCGCGGUAACACCGGCGGCUCGAGUGGUAACCGUUAUUAUUGGGUCUAAAGGGUCUGUAGCCGGCCGGAUAAGUCUCUUGAGAAAUCUGGCAGCUUAACUGUCAGGCUUUCAGGAGAUACUGUCUGGCUCGAGGCCGGGAGAGGUGAGAGGUACUUCAGGGGUAGGGGUGAAAUCUUGUAAUCCUUGAAGGACUACCAGUGGCGAAGGCGUCUCACCAGAACGGACCUGACGGCAAGGGACGAAAGCUAGGGGCACGAACCGGAUUAGAUACCCGGGUAGUCCUAGCCGUAAACGAUACUCGCUAGGUGUCGGCCACGGUGCGACCGUUGUCGGUGCCGUAGGGAAGCCGUGAAGCGAGCCACCUGGGAAGUACGGCCGCAAGGCUGAAACUUAAAGGAAUUUGGCGGGGGAGCACCACAACGGGUGGAGCUUGCGGUUUAAUUGGAUUCAACGCCGGAAAUCUUACCGGGACCGACAGCAAUAUGAAGCCAAGGCUGAAGACUUUGCCGGAUUAGCUGAGAGUGGUGCAU
RNAcentral lists this ribosomal RNA (872 nucleotides) under uncultured archaeon. RNAcentral's name for it is "bacterial SSU rRNA". It matches the Rfam family "Archaeal small subunit ribosomal RNA", at positions 125 to 995 of the family's 1478-position model. The record is from RNAcentral.